CUCUGUAAAUUAUAGUGUGGUCUAGACCUACUCCAUCUGUAAAAUGUCCUGAGAUCACUCCUGUCAUGAUUUGACACUAUAAAUGAAAUUGAAUUGAAUGUCAAUGUUGAAU
Long non-coding RNA from Sander lucioperca (pikeperch), 112 nucleotides. RefSeq lists it as uncharacterized. The record is from RefSeq and is a predicted model, not a curated record. The transcript has 3 exons. Lineage: Eukaryota; Metazoa; Chordata; Actinopteri; Perciformes; Percidae.